This 250-nucleotide long non-coding RNA is filed under the name Capsicum annuum. Its description in RNAcentral is "long non-coding RNA (CANN_LNC014754)". Lineage: Eukaryota; Viridiplantae; Streptophyta; Magnoliopsida; Solanales; Solanaceae. The record is from RNAcentral.
CAUAGUUGGCAAGACAAUCUUGUUUUCUUGAAAUCUUGGGUUUUGAGUUUAACCUGUCCAAGCUUGUAGUAAAAAUAUAUAUAAUUCUUCAUUCAUAUGGCUUCUUGAUGGUAUGUUGAUCAAAAAGUUAUCUUGAAUCAAUGAAUUCAUUUUUUUGGUUUCUUUGUUAAAGUUUAGCAUAAUUAACUUGUUAACCUUAUUGAAAUAUCAUGAUGACAUAAUUCCCUUUGUUAAAAGUUGUUUAUACGCC